AUUACGUCCCUGCCCUUUGUACACACCGCCCGUCGCUACUACCGAUUGAAUGGCUUAAUGAGACUUUCGGAUGUGUUUGGAGCCGCUGGCAACAGUGACACCUUGCGCAGAAGUUAUUCAAACUUGGUCAUUUAGAGGAAGUAAAAGUCGUAACAAGGUUUCCGUAGGUGAACCUGCGGAAGGAUCAUUA
This 190-nucleotide ribosomal RNA is filed under the name uncultured Paraglomus. RNAcentral's name for it is "partial 18S ribosomal RNA". It matches the Rfam family "Eukaryotic small subunit ribosomal RNA", at positions 1644 to 1831 of the family's 1831-position model. Lineage: Eukaryota; Fungi; Glomeromycota; Glomeromycetes; Paraglomerales; Paraglomeraceae. The record is from RNAcentral.